CUUUCCCCCUUUCCCCCUUUC
RNAcentral lists this unclassified non-coding RNA (21 nucleotides) under synthetic construct. The record is from RNAcentral.